RNAcentral lists this long non-coding RNA (247 nucleotides) under Elaeis guineensis (African oil palm). Its description in RNAcentral is "long non-coding RNA (EGUI_LNC057547)". Lineage: Eukaryota; Viridiplantae; Streptophyta; Magnoliopsida; Arecales; Arecaceae. The record is from RNAcentral.
AGAUCUUUUCAAUACCACAUGAUGCAACAGGAAGAAAGAAGAAAUGAAUAAAAAAUAAUCAAAUACAUGGAUCAACCAAAAAGGGCUCACCUCCACGAGACAUGCAAACUUCACUAUGAGGAAAAGAGAUAUUACAAGAGGAGAUCUCACCCUCAACCCUCGUACAUCCAAUUUCUUCCUCACAGGAAGUUCUCUCUCACAAAAGCUCUCCUUCUAGGAAGACCCCUUGAACCCCUGAAGUGACCGC